CAGGCUUCGAACGUAUGGGUUUCUGUCCCCAGUUUGACGCAUUUUUUACAGAUCUCACGGUUUCAGAACAACUAACAUACUUUGGUGCGAUGAAAGGACUGGAAAUUAGCUUAUUGCCCAAAAUAAUAGAAAAUCUGUUGCAGUCUGUGCGCCUUUCUGAGAAAGCACGCGCGUUUGCUCAUGAACUUUCUGGUGGAAUGAAGCGAAGGCUGAGCAUCGCUUUGGCGCUUCUUACCAGCCCUGAGGUACACAGGUUGGCCUUCAUUAUUUAAUGCUGCAUGCCAUAUUGAAAAUGAAAUAUAAAUGGAUGAAAUAUCAAA
This 320-nucleotide long non-coding RNA is filed under the name Dermacentor andersoni. Its description in RNAcentral is "uncharacterized LOC126530003". Lineage: Eukaryota; Metazoa; Arthropoda; Arachnida; Ixodida; Ixodidae. The record is from RNAcentral.